This 468-nucleotide ribosomal RNA is filed under the name uncultured bacterium. Its description in RNAcentral is "partial 16S ribosomal RNA". It matches the Rfam family "Bacterial small subunit ribosomal RNA", at positions 28 to 507 of the family's 1533-position model. The record is from RNAcentral.
GACGAACGCUGGCGGCGUGCUUAACACAUGCAAGUCGAACGGAAAGGCCCUGCUUUUGUGGGGUGCUCGAGUGGCGAACGGGUGAGUAACACGUGAGUAACCUGCCCUUGACUUUGGGAUAACUUCAUGCCACUUGGGCUAAUACCGGAUAGGAGCUCCUGCUGCAUGGUGGGGGUUGGACAGUUUCGGCGGUUGGGGAUGGACUCGCGGCUUAUCAGCUUGUUGGUGGGGUAGUGGCUUACCAAGGCUUUGACGGGUAGCCGGCCUGAGAGGGUGACCGGCCACAUUGGGACUGAGAUACGGCCCAGACUCCUACGGGAGGCAGCAGUGGGGAAUAGUGCACAAUGGGCGGAAGCCUGAUGCAGCAACGCCGCGUGCGGGAUGACGGCCUUCGGGUUGUAAACCGCUUUCGCCUGUGACGAAGCGUGAGUGACGGUAAUGGGUAAAGAAGCACCGGCUAACUACGUG